RNAcentral lists this ribosomal RNA (253 nucleotides) under uncultured prokaryote. RNAcentral's name for it is "partial 16S ribosomal RNA". It matches the Rfam family "Bacterial small subunit ribosomal RNA", at positions 525 to 777 of the family's 1533-position model. The record is from RNAcentral.
ACGAAGGGGGCUAGCGUUGCUCGGAAUUACUGGGCGUAAAGGGCGCGUAGGCGGACAGUUAAGUCGGGGGUGAAAGCCCGGGGCUCAACCUCGGAAUUGCCUUCGAUACUGGCUGUCUUGAGUACGGGAGAGGUGUGUGGAACUCCGAGUGUAGAGGUGAAAUUCGUAGAUAUUCGGAAGAACACCAGUGGCGAAGGCGACACACUGGCCCGUUACUGACGCUGAGGCGCGAAAGCGUGGGGAGCAAACAGGA